This 587-nucleotide ribosomal RNA is filed under the name Blastocystis sp. RNAcentral describes it as "SSU rRNA". It matches the Rfam family "Eukaryotic small subunit ribosomal RNA", at positions 1 to 601 of the family's 1831-position model. The record is from RNAcentral. Lineage: Eukaryota; Bigyra; Opalinata; Blastocystidae.
UAUUUUUUAUGGGGUUGUCAGCACAGUAGUCAUACUCUCGUCUCAAAGAUUAAGCCAGGCAUGUGUAAGUAUAAAUUUUUUUCUUUGAAACUGCGAAUGGCUCAUUAUAUCAGUUAUAGUUUAUAAGAUGAAAUGUCUUGCUUGGAUAUCGGUAGUAUUUGUAGAGUUAAUACAUGAUCAAUUCCUCGUCUUAGAAGAGGGGUUUUUAUUAGAAUGAAAACCAAUAGUCUCAGUCUGUUGGGGAGUAAUAAUACCUUGUCAUAUCGCAUGCUUAGGUAGAGAGGUGUCUUAAAAGUUUCUCCCCUCUCAGCUUUCGAGGGUAGUGUAUGGGUCUCCCAGCACAGUAGCGGGUAGAAAAGAAUUGGGUUUCGUUUUGGGAGGGGGACCGUGAGAGGGGUCUCCCACACCCAGGGAAGACCGCGGGCGUGAAAAUUCCACUAUCCUCACACGGGGGGGUAGUCACAAAAACUCACAAUGGGGAUAUUUAGUUUUGCAAUUGGAUUGAGAACAAGCACAACAGUUAUCGAUAAACAAUUGGAGGGCAAGUCUGGUGCCAGCAGCCGCGGUAAUCCAGCCCUAAUAAAGUU